GACAAACGCUGGCGGCGUGCUUAACACAUGCAAGUCGAACGGUCUUCCUUCGGGGGAGAUAGUGGCGGACGGGUGAGUAACACGUAGAUAACCUGCCCUUAUGUGGGGAAUAACCCCUCGAAAGAGGAGCUAAUACCGCAUGAGUUCUCUGUUGUUAGACAGAGAAGAAACCUCGGUUUAUACCUGGGGCAUGAGGAGGGGUCUGCGGCGGAUUAGCUAGUUGGUGGAGGUAAUGGCNCCCCAAGGCAACGAUCCGUAGCUGGUCUGAGAGGACGGCCAGCCACACUGGGACUGAGGCACGGCCCAGACUCCUACGGGAGGGCAGCAGUGAGGAAUAUUCCACAAUGGGCGAAAGCCUGAUGGAGCGACGCCGCGUGAGGGAUGAAG
Molecule: ribosomal RNA, 387 nt
Filed under: uncultured bacterium
Lineage: Bacteria
Description: bacterial SSU rRNA
Rfam family: Bacterial small subunit ribosomal RNA
Source: RNAcentral